CAGCCGCCGCGGGAAAACGGAGGGUGCAAGCGUUAAUCGGAAUUACUGGGCGUAAAGCGCACGCAGGCGGUCUGUCAAGUCGGAUGUGAAAUCCCCGGGCUCAACCUGGGAACUGCAUUCGAAACUGGCAGGCUAGAGUCUUGUAGAGGGGGGUAGAAUUCCAGGUGUAGCGGUGAAAUGCGUAGAGAUCUGGAGGAAUACCGGUGGCGAAGGCGGCCCCCUGGACAAAGACUGACGCUCAGGUGCGAAAGCGUGGGGAGCAAACAGGAUUAGAUACCCCGGUAGUCCCUGUCUCUUAUAC
RNAcentral lists this ribosomal RNA (301 nucleotides) under uncultured bacterium. RNAcentral describes it as "partial 16S ribosomal RNA". It matches the Rfam family "Bacterial small subunit ribosomal RNA", at positions 509 to 807 of the family's 1533-position model. The record is from RNAcentral.